RNAcentral lists this ribosomal RNA (243 nucleotides) under Staphylococcus epidermidis. RNAcentral's name for it is "partial 16S ribosomal RNA". It matches the Rfam family "Bacterial small subunit ribosomal RNA", at positions 284 to 519 of the family's 1533-position model. The record is from RNAcentral. Lineage: Bacteria; Bacillati; Bacillota; Bacilli; Caryophanales; Staphylococcaceae.
UAGCCGACCUGAGAGGGUGAUCGGCCACACUGGAACUGAGACACGGUCCAGACUCCUACGGGAGGCAGCAGUAGGGAAUCUUCCGCAAUGGGCGAAAGCCUGACGGAGCAACGCCGCGUGAAUGAUGAAGGUCUUCGGAUCGUAAAACUCUGUUAUUAGGGAAGAACAAAUGUGUAAGUAACUAUGCACGUCUUGACGGUACCUAAUCAGAAAGCCACGGCUAACUACGUGCCAGCAGCCGCG